GAAUACUCUCACACCUGCCACACCAUCGAACAGCUGUUGCACUGUUCUGUGAAAUACCUCUGGUGCCGAAAAGAUACCAAAAGGCUUGAUUGCAUGUCCAGGGGAUUCCAGUGGUUUUAACUGAAGCCUAACAAAAAUCAAGCAAGUAACUAAGAGAAGUGUCAUCGCAGAAGAAAUGGCAGAAGUGCCUCAGACACCUAUGAACACCAAGCAGUGAACAUCAUCUUUAUUAUACUUCUCUGACUGGACUAGCAAGGAGUAGUUAGAGUCCAUGAGAAAAACUCAAAAGAAAAUACUUUGAAGAAAGCAGUUUGCCUUGAAGCAAGUAUCAUAAACAGUCUCCUUACCGAAGUCUCCUUCAUCCAGAUGAGACUUCCAGUCAGUGCCAGCACAAAGACCGUCAGUACACCUACAAGGACCUGGAGGAGAGUGUAGGAGCAGACCCGAUGCCUGACCUGGUGGCUGCUCACAGCAGCCCUCAGAGAUUCCUCAGAGGUUUCCACAUCACAGAUGAAGGGAGCUGUUGCCAUGCUGAAUGAAUGAGUGAGCAAGGUGCUGAAUGAGCAUCUCCCUGUAGUCCUGGCCUCUUUUUAUGCCAGGGAUCUGCCCACUCAAGAGAGUUCCCUUACUGAAACUAGACAAAAAGCAGCAUGCUGCUAUGGCAUGAUUCCAAUGUGUUGGGACAACACAGAGAGAGGGAGUUGGGAUUACCCACACACCCACGCA
This is a long non-coding RNA of Cyprinus carpio carpio, 726 nucleotides long. Lineage: Eukaryota; Metazoa; Chordata; Actinopteri; Cypriniformes; Cyprinidae. The record is from Ensembl.